CCUACGGGUGGCAGCAGUGAGGAAUAUUGGUCAAUGGGCGCGAGCCUGAACCAGCCAAGUAGCGUGAAGGAUGACUGCCCUACGGGUUGUAAACUUCUUUUAUAAAGGAAUAAAGUGAGGCACGUGUGCCUUUUUGUAUGUACUUUAUGAAUCAGGCUCGGCUAACUCCGUGCCAGCAGCCGCGGUAAUACGGAGGAUCCGAGCGUUAUCCGGAUUUAUUGGGUUUAAAGGGAGCGUAGAUGGGUUGUUAAGUCAGUUGUGAAAGUUUGCGGCUCAACCGUAAAAUUGCAAUUGAUACUGGCAGUCUUGAGUACAGUAGAGGUAGGCGGAAUUCGUGGUGUAGCGGUGAAAUGCGUAGAGAUCACGAAGAACACCGAUUGCGAAGGCAGCUUACUAGACUGCCACUGACAUUGAUGCGCGAAAGUGUGGGUAGCAAACAGGAUUAGAUACCCCUGUAGUC
Molecule: ribosomal RNA, 460 nt
Filed under: uncultured bacterium
Lineage: Bacteria
Description: partial 16S ribosomal RNA
Rfam family: Bacterial small subunit ribosomal RNA
Source: RNAcentral